This 274-nucleotide ribosomal RNA is filed under the name uncultured bacterium. Its description in RNAcentral is "partial 16S ribosomal RNA". It matches the Rfam family "Bacterial small subunit ribosomal RNA", at positions 523 to 796 of the family's 1533-position model. The record is from RNAcentral.
AUACAGAGGGUGCGAGCGUUAAUCGGAAUUACUGGGCGUCAAGCGCGCGUAGGCGGCUUAUUAAGUCAGAUGUGAAAUCCCCGGGCUCAACCUGGGAACUGCAUCUGAUACUGGUAAGCUAGAGUUUUGGAGAGGGAAGUAGAAUUUCAGGUGUAGCGGUGAAAUGCAUAGAGAUCUGAAGGAAAACCAGUGGCGAAGGCGACUUCCUGGCCAAAAACUGACGCUGAGGUGCGAAAGCGUGGGUAGCAAACGGGAUUAGAAACCCUAGUAGUCC